Molecule: ribosomal RNA, 742 nt
Filed under: uncultured bacterium
Lineage: Bacteria
Description: bacterial SSU rRNA
Rfam family: Bacterial small subunit ribosomal RNA
Source: RNAcentral
AGAGUUUGAUCAUGGCUCAGAACGAACGCUGGCGGCAGGCUUAACACAUGCAAGUCGAACGAUGUAGCAAUACAUAGUGGCGCACGGGUGAGUAACGCGUGGGAAUAUACCUUAUAGUGGGGAAUAACUUUGGGAAACUAAAGCUAAUACCGCAUACGCCCGAGAGGGGAAAGAUUUAUCGCUAUAAGAUUAGCCCGCGUGAGAUUAGGUAGUUGGUGGGGUAAUGGCCUACCAAGCCUACGAUCUCUAGCUGGUCUGAGAGGAUGAUCAGCCACACUGGAACUGAGACACGGUCCAGACUCCUACGGGAGGCAGCAGUGGGGAAUAUUGGGCAAUGGAGGAAACUCUGACCCAGCCAUGCCGCGUGAAUGAUGAAGGCCUUAGGGUUGUAAAGUUCUUUCGCCGAUGAAGAUAAUGACGGUAGUCGGAGAAGAAGCCCCGGCUAACUUCGUGCCAGCAGCCGCGGUAAUACGAAGGGGGCUAGCGUUGUUCGGAAUUACUGGGCGUAAAGCGAGCGUAGGUUGCUCGAUAAGUCAGUGGAGAAAGCCCAGAGCUCAACUCUGGAACUGCCAUUGAAACUGUCGAGCUGGAAUCUCAGAGGGGGUAGCGGAAUUCCAAAUGUAGGGGUGAAAUCCGUAGAUAUUUGGAGGAACACCGGUGGCGAAGGCGGCUACCUGGAUGAGUAUUGACACUGAGGCUCGAAAGCGUGGGGAUCAAACAGGAUUAGAUACCCUGGUAGUCC